CUCAAUCACAAACCGUAUUAUUUUACGACCGUCCAUAGACCUAUUAUAACUUACUAAGUUAUAGUUUACUUUAGUUAAUAAACAAUAGAAACUGACGACUGUGCACGGCGAAUACUCUCAAGUACUAACGUCUACUGUAACGAGAUGGAUGCCAUACACUGUACAUCGUAUUGUGACGGUGAUCAAAUGGGUGUUCGGAAGUCCGAUGAAUGCGAAUCAACAAACUACACAAAUACCACAUUAUCACUUGCACUGUUAAAGCCUUUGAACUCCUGCGAUCUUUACAGAUGAAGUAUUAUACGUGAUAUAAGGCUGAAAGCUGAUGAUGAUACAAUUGUAUUUGGACGCAAAGUUGUAUUUAUGUCUGCUAGUCAAUAUUUCCCGCCUAUGUUCACUAAUUUUAGUGAAAACAAAAAAGAUAUUGUUGAUUUACGAGAACUAGAUUCCACCAUUUUAAACAAUAAAUUGGUAAAUUAUAUUAUAUUUAGAGUGGGAAGAUCAUGAUCAGCAAAUCAAAUGGACAGGUUUUGUUAACGGCUGCAAAUGUCUUACGGUUAGACUAUGUAAAAGGCGCAUGUGCUUAGUUUGUACAGAAACAACUAGAUCCAACCAAUUGUCUUGGUAUUAGAUCAUUUGCUGAUUUACAUAACUGUUCGGAAUUGUUAUCAAGUUAGAAUCAUUAGAAAAAAGUUUCUGUAUGAUAAAUAGAUGUGGUUAAAGGUGAUGAAUUUCUAUCUGUAUCCACUGAAUAAUUGAUAAUGCUAAUCCCUUGAUUCCUGAAGAAAAAGUGUAUGAAUGUGUUAUUAAUUGGGUAACACAUGAAUUAAAUGUUAGAUAUGAUGGUUUGGUGAAAGUAAUGGAACAUGUACGUUUGCCUUUAGCAUCAUUAGAUACAAUGAAUGAAGUCGAGGAACCUAUUUUUAUAAAUAUUCCUAAAAUUACAGAUUAUUUAAUUGAAGCUUUUCAAUUUCAUACACUAUUAAGACACAAUAGCUAACAAUUCCACAAACUAUUCGAAAUACACCUAGAAUGUCUGGACAAAAGGUUAUUCCAGUAUUCAGACGUUCACCUGGAACCCUCGUGUAUGAUCCAACAACUAACUUGUCGCAGCAGCAUUUACCAGAAACCAGUUUGAUGGAUUAUUUUUGUGUAAAUUAGUUUACCUCAAUAUUAAAGAAUAUUUUGUUAUUCUUUCUGAAAGUUCUUUUAAAAUUAUUGAUUUAUCAUUCAAAUCACUCAGAUGUGUGACAUCCUUGUUAGACACCUUAGUUUAUAGAAGUCAUUGUGGAUUUAGUGUAUUAGAUGAUAGUUUAUAUUAAGUAAGUUUUAAUUUUGUGACUUACUUAUUUUUAUAUUUUAAAUAUAUAUUAUAAUAUAAAAUGUUCCCGUCAAGAAUUACUGUAAAAAUCUGAUCCAUGGGCCUUUGGGUGUGACAGGCCGACAUUGAAUUUUUAUAUACACACACUAUUACACUAAUUAUCGUUUUCUACGUAAACUUGUAGGAUUCAAACGUAAAUGCCUGUAAUAUUGCCUAUACUGAACUCCUUAAAAUUUGUCAUACUUUGUAUAAAUAAUAAAUGUACAACUUAUACAAGUCAUUCAUUACGUAGGUACACAUCGAUAUUGAAGAAUGGAUAGGCCAUGGCUAUUAUAACAAUAUAGAGGGAAGCACGCCAUGGUGGGGAAGAGAGAAAGACCAUUUUUAUCAUUACCUCUCAUUCUAAAUUUCUAUCAGAGGUAAAGUUAUAAUAUAUUUAAUAUUUAUAUAUCCUUAUACAUCAAUAAUUUAUUCGUGACAAAUCCUCUGUAAUUUCUGUGUGAU
Metopolophium dirhodum (rose-grain aphid) is the source of this 1822-nucleotide long non-coding RNA. RefSeq lists it as uncharacterized. The record is from RefSeq and is a predicted model, not a curated record. The transcript has 8 exons. NCBI's taxonomy places the organism in Eukaryota, Metazoa, Arthropoda, Insecta, Hemiptera, Aphididae.